GUCAUGUUCUCCAGCAAUCUAAAGCAAGCGAAGGAAGAAGUCGUAGGGUUAUUGGACUGGACAGACUUUCAGGAUCAGAGCUGGCACUGUUCCCUCAGUUUUCUGCUUCCUUGCUCAUCUAUGCAAGGACCACUCCUAUGCUCUGCCUUCAUCCAAUGAAGACCUGAGAGCCAGACUGAGGGCAGCCUUGGAUAGGGUGUGGAGAGUCUGGAAAGAGAGAAAGAAGGAAUGCCAAGGACAGAGAGAAGAGCAAAGAGC
This is a long non-coding RNA of Cyprinodon tularosa, 258 nucleotides long. RefSeq lists it as uncharacterized. NCBI's taxonomy places the organism in Eukaryota, Metazoa, Chordata, Actinopteri, Cyprinodontiformes, Cyprinodontidae. The transcript is spliced from 3 exons. The record is from RefSeq and is a predicted model, not a curated record.